CGCGUAGGUGGUUCACCAAGUGGGAUGUGAAAGCCCGAGGCUUAACCUCGGAACUGCAUUCCAAACUGACGAACUAGAGUACGGUAGAGGGAGGUAGAAUUCAGAGUGUAGCGGUGAAAUGCGUAGAUAUUCUGAGGAAUACCAGUGGCGAAGGCGGCCUCCUGGACUGAUACUGACACUGAGGUGCGAAAGCGUGGGGAGCAAACA
RNAcentral lists this ribosomal RNA (207 nucleotides) under uncultured bacterium. Its description in RNAcentral is "partial 16S ribosomal RNA". It matches the Rfam family "Bacterial small subunit ribosomal RNA", at positions 568 to 774 of the family's 1533-position model. The record is from RNAcentral.